Molecule: long non-coding RNA, 525 nt
Filed under: Musa acuminata (dwarf banana)
Lineage: Eukaryota; Viridiplantae; Streptophyta; Magnoliopsida; Zingiberales; Musaceae
Description: long non-coding RNA (MACU_LNC006381)
Source: RNAcentral
UGAAUUAUCGGACACUGAAGAACUCAUCCAUCAUUGCCGUAACUCACAACUCACCAGCUGGAGUUUUUGAGCUUCGCACUAUCUAUUUAUCACUAGGUUGUAAAGAGGCUUAAUAUAAUCUGAUCGAAUCAGACCUGAUUCUGGAUGGAGCAAGUAAUAGAGAGCAAGUUAAGCAGACGGAUUCCUGAAGGAUACCUAUCUGGUAACCAAGGUCGUGGAUACAGAUUCACGUGAUUACUUUAGUGUUUGGUCCAGAUGUCUACCUUUUUCUCAAGACAGAUAACUGGAUUUGAUAAACUUGAAAAGGAAAUAGAAACAAGGAUCUUGACAUUUUUCCCUUUGCUCAAAUUGGUAUGCACUUGCAAACAUACUCUAGACUGUUCCAAAUCAUGGAGCAUGUAUGUCUAGGUAUGAAGUUUGACAAAAAUUAUUAAGUCUGAUUAAACUAUCGGUAUUUAUUCACUUUUUUUAGUAAAUCAUAACAUUCUAAAUUCACUUUGACCUAGAACUUCGUUAUGUACCCCC